AUCCUGGGGCUCAACUCCAGAACUGCCAUUGAUACUGGCAAUCUUGAGUUCGGAAGAGGUGAGUGGAACUCCUAGUGUAGAGGUGGAAUUCGUAGAUAUUAGGAAGAACACCAGUGGCGAAGGCGGCUCACUGGUCCGGUACUGACGCUGAGGUGCGAAAGCGUGGGGAGCAAACAG
RNAcentral lists this ribosomal RNA (177 nucleotides) under uncultured bacterium. Its description in RNAcentral is "partial 16S ribosomal RNA". It matches the Rfam family "Bacterial small subunit ribosomal RNA", at positions 599 to 775 of the family's 1533-position model. The record is from RNAcentral.